AAGUCGUAACAAGGUAACCGUAGGUGAACCUGCGGUUGGAUCAUUAAAGUAAAACAACAAAACAAAACAACCUCCCAAGCAUUUGUUCUCCUGGGGGGCAACCCCGAGAAGGCAAACGCCUGCCCCGUUUGCUUUCGAGGGGGGGGUCACCUCAGGAAGCAUUUGCAAGGGAGGCCAUCCAAAAGGGAUGGACACCUUUGUGAACUGUAUCUGUCUCUGGCAGUAAGUGGGCCUUUCAAGCUAUGCUUGGCAGGUUCCUUGCUCAUCAUCAUUUCUUUUGAGGUGGUUGAUGGACAAUGCUGCCAAACCCUUCUAUUCUACACCUUUUUUACAUCUGACAUGGUUUUAUUCAAAUAAAAUCACAUCUUAAUAUCUAUAACUUUUGGCAACGGAUCUCUUGGCUCUC
Molecule: unclassified non-coding RNA, 406 nt
Filed under: fungal sp.
Lineage: Eukaryota; Fungi
Description: partial internal transcribed spacer region
Rfam family: Eukaryotic small subunit ribosomal RNA (bases 1-46)
Source: RNAcentral